GAUGAACGCUGGCGGCGUGCCUAAUACAUGCAAGUCGAGCGAACGGACGAGAAACUUGCUUCUCUGAUGUUAGCGGCGGACGGGUGAGUAACACGUGGAUAACCUACCUAUAAGACUGGGAUAACUUCGGGAAACCGGAGCUAAUACCGGAUGAUAUUUUGAACCGCAUGGUUCAAAAGUUAAAGACGGUCUUGCUGUCACUUAUAGAUGGAUCCGCGCUGCAUUAGCUAGUUGGUAAGGUAACGGCUUACCAAGGCAACGAUGCAUAGCCGACCUGAGAGGGUGAUCGGCCACACUGGAACUGAGACACGGUCCAGACUCCUACGGGAGGCAGCAGUAGGGAAUCUUCCGCAAUGGGCGCAAGCCUGACGGAGCAACGCCGCGUGUAUGAUGAAGGUCUUCGGAUCGUAAAGCUCUGUUAUUAGGGAGGAACAGAUGAAUAAGUAUCUGUGCACAUCUUGACGGUACCUAAUCAAAAAGCCACGGCUAACUACGUG
Molecule: ribosomal RNA, 497 nt
Filed under: uncultured bacterium
Lineage: Bacteria
Description: partial 16S ribosomal RNA
Rfam family: Bacterial small subunit ribosomal RNA
Source: RNAcentral